RNAcentral lists this transfer RNA (69 nucleotides) under Ictidomys tridecemlineatus (thirteen-lined ground squirrel). Its description in RNAcentral is "Spermophilus tridecemlineatus (thirteen-lined ground squirrel) tRNA". It matches the Rfam family "tRNA". Rfam says of the family: Transfer RNA (tRNA) molecules are approximately 80 nucleotides in length. Their secondary structure includes four short double-helical elements and three loops (D, anti-codon, and T loops). Further hydrogen bonds mediate the characteristic L-shaped molecular structure. tRNAs have two regions of fundamental functional importance: the anti-codon, which is responsible for specific mRNA codon recognition, and the 3' end, to which the tRNAs corresponding amino acid is attached (by aminoacyl-tRNA synthetases). tRNAs cope with the degeneracy of the genetic code in two manners: having more than one tRNA (with a specific anti-codon) for a particular amino acid; and 'wobble' base-pairing, i.e. permitting non-standard base-pairing at the 3rd anti-codon position. The record is from Rfam by way of RNAcentral. Lineage: Eukaryota; Metazoa; Chordata; Mammalia; Rodentia; Sciuridae.
GGUAAUAAAGCUCAGUGGUAGAGCAUGUGUUUAGCAUGCACGAGGCCCUGGGUUCAAUCCCCAGUACCA